Ictidomys tridecemlineatus (thirteen-lined ground squirrel) is the source of this 72-nucleotide non-coding RNA. NCBI's taxonomy places the organism in Eukaryota, Metazoa, Chordata, Mammalia, Rodentia, Sciuridae. The record is from Rfam.
GGUGAUGUGGCUCAGUGAUAGAGUGCUUGCUUAGCAUGUGUGAGGCCUUGAGUUUGAUUCUCAGCACCACAU